GAUGAACGCUGGCGGCGUGCCUAAUACAUGCAAGUCGAGCGAACAGACGAGGAGCUUGCUCCUCUGACGUUAGCGGCGGACGGGUGAGUAACACGUGGAUAACCUACCUAUAAGACUGGGAUAACUUCGGGAAACCGGAGCUAAUACCGGAUAAUAUAUUGAACCGCAUGGUUCAAUAGUGAAAGACGGUUUUGCUGUCACUUAUAGAUGGAUCCGCGCCGCAUUAGCUAGUUGGUAAGGUAACGGCUUACCAAGGCGACGAUGCGUAGCCGACCUGAGAGGAUGAUCGGCCACACUGGAACUGAGACACGGUCCAGACUCCUACGGGAGGCAGCAGUAGGGAAUCUUCCGCAAUGGGCGAAAGCCUGACGGAGCAACGCCGCGUGAGUGAUGAAGGUCUUCGGAUCGUAAAACUCUGUUAUUAGGGAAGAACAAAUGUGUAAGUAACUAUGCACGUCUUGACGGUACCUAAUCAGAAAGCCACGGCUAACUACGUG
Molecule: ribosomal RNA, 497 nt
Filed under: uncultured bacterium
Lineage: Bacteria
Description: partial 16S ribosomal RNA
Rfam family: Bacterial small subunit ribosomal RNA
Source: RNAcentral